UCAAGAAAACAAAGUAGCACAGUGCAGCAUGCAGGUGCGGUACCAGCAGACAUCAGGUGCUCGCUGCCUGGCUCACACAUCUUGGCCAUCCCUGCAGGAGCAGCUGGAGGAGAUGGAAGAGAGGCAGCGGCAGUUACGCAGUGGGGUGCAAGUUCAGCAGCAGAAGAACAAGGAGAUGGAGCAGCUGAGGACAAGCCUUGCUGAAGAGCUUUCCACAUAUAAGUCAGUGUUCUCUGCUUCGCAAGUCUCUUCAGGAUGGCGGGCGGGAGGGUCCAGGGGGAAGUUCAUUUAGAAAGAAAACAAACCAUUUGGGGAACCCAUGAACGGAUGGAAACCAGCUCUCUUUUUUUAAAGGGCCAUGCUACCCAAGAGUCUGGAUCAGGCUGAUGCACCUACUCCUCAGGCAGGU
RNAcentral lists this long non-coding RNA (409 nucleotides) under Rattus norvegicus (Norway rat). RNAcentral's name for it is "long non-coding RNA NONRATT022656". Lineage: Eukaryota; Metazoa; Chordata; Mammalia; Rodentia; Muridae. The record is from RNAcentral.